Molecule: long non-coding RNA, 230 nt
Organism: Orcinus orca (killer whale)
Lineage: Eukaryota; Metazoa; Chordata; Mammalia; Artiodactyla; Delphinidae
Exons: 3
Source: RefSeq, a predicted model, not a curated record
AGGAUCGUCAUGCUUGAAUCCUAGAUCAGCCAUUUUCUAAUUGGUGACCUUGGGCCAGAAGUGGUAACUGCUUCCUGCAUAUGCUAACUCCGUGGUAUUCUAAGCAGAUGACCUUUGAACUGGAAUUGCAGCAUCACCUCUCCUGGGUCUCCAGCCUGCCAGCCCACCCUGAAGAUUUUGGACUUUGCAGCCUCCAUAAUUGCAUGAGCCAAUUCCUUCUAAUAAAUCUC